UCCAAUAGCACAAAUUUGAAUUUGAAAACUCGUUGAUCAUCAAUUUCUUAACCAAGAAUGGCUUCUUACCACAAGUUGUUGGUGAUCUUCCUUAUCGUUGUUGGAUCUGUUGCUGGCAGCGGCCAAGCUUUGACACACCGUCACCUUCUGUUAUCACCAUCUCCAGGUUCAGAUUCACCCCGAAGAUCAAAAUUUCCCUUUCCAAAAUUAAUGGGAGGGGGUUUGACAGAACAUGGUCCGUCCCAUGCCAGAACCGUCACUUCCCAGCCCGGAAAUCCAAUACUUCCAGACUUUCCAAAUCCAGUGACUUCACCGGGAAAUCCAAUUGUUCCAUACUUUCCAAGUCCAGUGAUCCCACCCGGAAUUCCCCCUAUUCCAUACCUUCCAAGUCCAGUUAUUCCUGCACCAGGAAAUCCAAUUAUUCCAUACUUUCCAAGCCCAGUAAUCCAACCUGGAAAUCCAAUCAUUCCGUACUUCCCAAGCCCGGUGAUCCAACCCGGAAAUCCAACUGUUCCAUACUUUCCAAGUCCAGUUUUCCCACCUCCUCCAGCUGCUACUUCCACCAUUAGCCCUUGAAAUCAAUUUGCAGAAGUACCAUUGGACUUCUCACGUUUCCAUGUUGUGUACGUAGCUCAAUUUUAGCAUGAAGGCUAUAUCAGUUUUCUUGCAUAUUUUGUCAUGAUGUAGGCAAGUCCCUGAUGAAGGGUUGUCCCUAUGCUUUGCAGAAUUCUUAGGUGUUGCUUCGAUAUCAUUCAGAAGCAGACUAAAUUUGAAAUCAUAUCUUUGGUUAGCUUCCAUUCAAGUGCGAAGUUUAUGCAUCAAUAUCCCUAAACUUGAACUACUUUCUCGCCAUGGGGUUGUUUGUUUAUAAAUUGUGUGGAUCAACUUUUUUCUCAUAUAAUAGAUCACUUGAAUCAUGUUAAUCAGUAAUGUGGAUUACUCUGCAGUCUGCACUAGAUGACCAACAACUUUGUUUCGGAGGAGCUGUGUAGAUGUUAAGGGCUGUAUGAAAGAAAUUCUCAUUGAUAUCUUUAUUCCAGAAAAACUGAACGGCAGUCUCCAACCUGAGAAAAGUUC
Molecule: long non-coding RNA, 1077 nt
Filed under: Coffea arabica (coffee)
Lineage: Eukaryota; Viridiplantae; Streptophyta; Magnoliopsida; Gentianales; Rubiaceae
Description: long non-coding RNA (CARA_LNC001053)
Source: RNAcentral